AGCAUGACAAACCUUUUUCAUGACAAACCAGUUUUCCUAAUAUCAAGCUCUACACCUCAUUUCAAGAUUUCAGUGUUCAUGCAGGGUAGGACUGUUUGUCUGUCUCACUUUUGUGGUUGGGAGGUUUGUGGUUUUGAGGUUGGAUUUUGUGUUGGAGUGCAGUGCAGCUCCCGCUUUACACUCAUUGCUCCCUCAAAGGAGGGUGGUCACAGUACGUCUUUGGUGAUGCAGACGAUGGGGAGCACACAUUUUCCACAGUACCAUCACUGGGAGACAGAUUACAACCCUUUAAUCUAACUGAGGUGUCACAAGAGGCAUCUAUCAGCUUUUUCAGCAAGACCAUGUACCUGUAAAAUAUAGUAACUCUUCUGAGUAGAAAAUCCAAAGUUAACUAGUGUUGAGCUCACUAUGCUGCCUUUGAAAUUAAUUGGAUUUCUACCAUUCCCAGCCAUUAGAGCAGAGCCAAUCAAUUUUCAAAUGGAGCUAGCAGUUUUUUCUACAAACAAUGAUGGUGCUUCUCAGGUCUUUCCUUCCCUUUUUUUCACAGCUUUUUCUCAUACACUAGGAGAACUGAAUAUUCUCAUGGUCCACACUCUUUCAGUGGGAGCAGGGACAAAAAGAACAUUUCUGUGCAGGAGGUUGCAACAGACAGUAGGGCAGGGCAUCAUGAGGCUUUUUUUCCUCAUCAAUCUUUUAACCAAUCUACCACCUAUUCAGUUCAAUAAGCCUCAGGUGGCAUUGAGGUCUGCAGGUCUCAGAUCCUUCACACGUGUUGUUAAGUGUCACAGCCAUUCGUUUCUGUCACAUACAAAUGUUCUGAAAUGUCAGAAGCCACAGACACAGAUGCUGGUGGCUGAAAAUUGCUGAAUCUGGUGCUGUGUAAGUGGCAUGGCCAUUAUAACAAUGAUAUACCUUUAAAUAUGCAGGUUCUAGUAGCAGUUUAGUACUGAAAUUAAGAUCAUUUUUGAAUAGAUGGAGCAUGUUAUGGCUAUAUUUAUUAAUAUCGUCUAAGUGCAGAGGAGAUUUGUAGCCUUUUGUUCCCAUAAGUGUUGUCUUAGUUCACUUGUGCUUUUCGGGGCUCUGUACAGUCCAAUUCAUGCUUAAACUACCAGAAAACAGUCUUUUGCUUAUAUUAAAAAAAAAAAAAAAAAGGAGCAGCUGCCAAUUAAGUGCUAUUUAUUUACCACAUCUCAGACAAGCCAAAUGGCUUCUCUUCUCUGUUUAACAACCUUCCUUUAUUGAAAGUAGUGUUUGAUUUCCCACUUCUGCAACCACCACUUUAAUAAUAUUAGGGGAGUGUAAAUAAGGUCCCACAGAUACUUUAGGCACCAUAUUCCCAACAGCUGUUCUAGUGGUAAAAUGGAGAAGAGUAGCAUCUUUUUUCCUGCUAGUGCUGGUAAAGCUAGACUGAGAUUGACAGUAAGAAUAAACCCUUCAUAGAGAAAUAAUUGGGUGCACACGUUUUAUUUACAAUAUGAAAUAAAUCAACUAAUGUCUUCAUUAGCAUAGUUGUGUAGUCUAGUAGUGGUAAAGGACAAAUCUUACAAGUUUUCCAGUCCAGUGAUCUUACAUGAUUUUUUUAAAAGAUCCUAAAUACUAGCAUUGGCUUGCUGAUUAGAAUUUCCAAUUGUGUUUGAUGCUAUCAGUGCUAAGAACUCUGUUUCCAUUACUAGGAAUUGUGUUUCAGUGGAAAUUACACUGGGUAAAUUGAUUCUCUUCCAUAAUAUUGUUCUUCUAAUUAAAUUUUUAUUCCCCAUCAAAAUAAAUAAAAUAUUUUUUCUUGAACAGGAAAUCAAAAUCUAAAAUAUCUACUUUGGUUUGUUGAGAAAAGGCAUGCUCUAUCAUGCUCAUUUUCAGUCCCAUGAAAGAAGAGAUGGGAUUAUACUGCCCAAGUGUCAUUAGCUGGUGAGGAGCUAUCCACAAUGGACAGUACAGGUGAAAGGCUGGAGAAGAUGAUGUUAUUAUGACUAGAUGAUCAUGUCUUCCUUUGUGCAUCAUGCAAGGUGCCAACUUGUUGCCUUGUAGGACAGAUAUGAGGGUGGGGGGAACAUGAUGCUCAUUUGGGAUCAGCCCACUUUCUCUGAUUUGGAUCAGGAUCUACUCAGCUGCUGUCACUGAAGUCAAGGGCUAUGUGAUAUCCCGAUCACCUCAUUUAGCAAAGAAAGGAGGGAGCUUUAUUGAUGAGGUUCAGUGGGCUUUUGUCAGGCUUCUCCCCCUCACAAGCUACCACUAAAAUAAAGGAUAUUGCAUAAUUUGCUGUGAAACCCAGAUCCCAAAGAGGGAUCCCUGAUGCUAUAGAGCUAAGUGUCUUAUUAGUAUAUUUAAAUUCUGAGACAAAUUAUUCAUUCUGUAAGAUUCCUAAGGAAUCUUUUCUUUUCUUCAUUUGCUGCAAAAGUCCAGACUGAAGACAACUUGUCCAUCUUGAUGAGUAAGAGAUAUACUUGAAAUUUACUUGGCAGAGGAAAGCUGUAGACUGUCUCUUAAACUGUUCAUUGCAUCACCCAUGUCCUCCUUUCUUCUGCUGCCCAGCCCUUAACAAUGCCUCUUGUAGCUGGUGUGGCUGAAUUGCUAAGUCUCACAGAAAAAAA
Lonchura striata (white-rumped munia) is the source of this 2588-nucleotide non-coding RNA. The record is from RefSeq and is a predicted model, not a curated record. Lineage: Eukaryota; Metazoa; Chordata; Aves; Passeriformes; Estrildidae.